Molecule: ribosomal RNA, 169 nt
Filed under: uncultured Clostridium sp.
Lineage: Bacteria; Bacillati; Bacillota; Clostridia; Eubacteriales; Clostridiaceae
Description: partial 16S ribosomal RNA
Rfam family: Bacterial small subunit ribosomal RNA
Source: RNAcentral
CUACGGGAGGCAGCAGUAGGGAAUUUUCCGCAAUGGGCGCAAGCCUGACGGAGCAACGCCGCGUGAGGGAUGAAGGUUUUCGGAUCGUAAACCUCUGUCUUCAGGGACGAUAAUGAUGGUACCUGAGGAGGAAGCCACGGCUAACUACGUGCCAGCAGCCGCGGUAAUA